UACGGGGGGGGCAAGCGUUGUUCGGAAUUACUGGGCGUAAAGGGCUCGUAGGCGGCCCUCUCAGUCGGAUGUGAAAUCCCCAGGCUUAACCUGGGAACGGCAUCCGAUACUGGAGGGCUUGAAUUCGGGAGAGGGAUGCAGAAUUCCAGGUGUAGCGGUGAAAUGCGUAGAUAUCAGGAGGAACGCCGGAGGCGAAAGCGAGUGACUGGCGCGUUCCUGACGCUGAGGUGCGAAAGCUAGGGGAGCAAACAGG
RNAcentral lists this ribosomal RNA (253 nucleotides) under uncultured prokaryote. Its description in RNAcentral is "partial 16S ribosomal RNA". It matches the Rfam family "Bacterial small subunit ribosomal RNA", at positions 524 to 776 of the family's 1533-position model. The record is from RNAcentral.